Molecule: non-coding RNA, 87 nt
Filed under: unclassified sequences
Description: freshwater-2 RNA
Rfam family: freshwater-2 RNA
About the family: Aquatic, esp. fresh water. No recognized genes
Source: RNAcentral
AAUUACAAUAGUGUAAUGGACUUAUGCUGUACCCACAGCGUACUGGAUAGAACCCAGAUAGGACUACUUAAUAGGAGAAAAAAAAUG